CGCGGGUCGGGUGCUGUGUGUUGGGGAUUAAAAUCCCGAUCUCUCUCCCCUUCUUCUAUUUUCGGUCCCAGCUUCUUCUUCCCCCUAUUUUCUUCUUCGGUCUUCUUCUUUUCAAGAACUCUUCUAUUCUAAGAACUCUUCUAUUCCAAGAAUUCAUCUCCUCUAAGAACUCUCAAUCUCUUCAAGUUUGGUAAGAUCAAAGAUUCUUCAGAAGCUCUUGACUUGGCCGAAUUUCUCACCUCUUCAAAAGCUAGGGUUUGGCAACUUGUUGAUUUGGGUUUGAGCAUUGACGGGCUUCUCCUCCUCCUCGAUUCUUCUUCAAAUUUUAGAUUAGCCAUGUCAACGAGGAGAUCGCGCCUCCCGAGGACCCGCUCAGCUACUCAAUCGCCUGAGAGGGAGCAUCCAUCUUUCACUGGUAAAUAUCAACAUUCAUGGUGUUGUAGAAAGCUCCUAAAGCUCAGAGAGUUUGCUCCAAGAGUUUGCUCCACGCUGUGUGGACUUCACUAGUUCUACUUUACAAUGGAGAGGGGAUAAGCCACAUUUCUGUACCUCCUCAGCUUGUAAAAUGUUAUUUGGUGUUUUGGAGAAACAGAAUUGGGCUACUACUGUUUGGAGUAAAUUCACCAUUCCAAGACGUUCAUUCAUUUUCUAGAUGAUUUGCUUAAACAGAUUGCCUACAAAGAGAAGCUAAUAAAGUAUGGCAUACUCGAUAAUGAUCUAUGUCCUUUGUGCAGUUUAUAUUCAGAGAAUAGAACUCAUCUCUACUUUAACUGUGAUUUUUCCCCCAAAAAUGUUUGGAGAGGAGCUAUGGAGUUCAUACAAGAAAUGAAUGUUCCUGGCAAUUGGGAUGAGUCCACGGAUUGGAUGGCGAGAAGAUGGAGAGGUAACCCUACAAUAAACCAUGUAAAAAAGAGCUACUGCUGCUGCUGCUGCUUGCCUAUACUAUAUUGUGGAUUGCUAGAAAUGUCUUUGUAUUUCAAGGCAAAAGAUCCAAUGUAGCAAGAUUGAUAGGCUUAAAGAUACAAGGAAGAACGGAGCUUGGUGUGAAGCUAUGCAUAUAUUCCCUCAAUUUGUUAAGUGUGAGAAUUAGCUGAUUUUGAUUUGCUUCAUAGUUGGUUAAGUAGUCUAGUUCUUGGGGUUUGCACACCCAUUUUAUGUAGCUUGCUUGCCCCGUUUUGAUUUUCUGAUGUUGGUUUCUUAUUGUGCUCUCUCUUUAAAGAGCACUUGAUGUACAUGUUUUGGUUGAAACUCAUUUGUAUUGAGUGAAUAAGAUAUAAAGCUUGUGGUUU
Long non-coding RNA from Asparagus officinalis (garden asparagus), 1289 nucleotides. RefSeq lists it as uncharacterized. The transcript is spliced from 3 exons. The record is from RefSeq and is a predicted model, not a curated record. Lineage: Eukaryota; Viridiplantae; Streptophyta; Magnoliopsida; Asparagales; Asparagaceae.